RNAcentral lists this ribosomal RNA (253 nucleotides) under uncultured bacterium. RNAcentral describes it as "partial 16S ribosomal RNA". It matches the Rfam family "Bacterial small subunit ribosomal RNA", at positions 524 to 776 of the family's 1533-position model. The record is from RNAcentral.
UACAGAGGUCUCGAGCGUUGUUCGGAAUCAUUGGGCGUAAAGGGCGCGUAGGUGGUUCUGUAUGUCUACCGUGAAAGCGUACGGCUCAACCGUAUUUUGUCGGUAGAAACUGCAGGACUUGAGGCUGGGAGGGGCUGGUGGAAUUCCCUGUGUAGCGGUGAAAUGCGUAGAGAUGGGGGAGAACACUCGUGGCGAAGGCGGCCAGCUAGACCAGUUCUGACACUGAGGCGCGACAGCGUGGGGAGCAAACAGG